GGCUGGUCCCAUGGUAGUAGGUUAUCAGAACUUAUUAACAUUAGUGUCACUGAAGUUGGUAUACAACCCCCCACUGCUGAAAUUGACUGGCUUAAA
Molecule: Y RNA, 96 nt
Organism: Callithrix jacchus (white-tufted-ear marmoset)
Lineage: Eukaryota; Metazoa; Chordata; Mammalia; Primates; Cebidae
Rfam family: Y RNA
About the family: Y RNAs are components of the Ro ribonucleoprotein particle (Ro RNP), in association with Ro60 and La proteins. The Y RNAs and Ro60 and La proteins are well conserved, but the function of the Ro RNP is not known.
Source: Ensembl